ACAGUUCACUGGAUCCAUUACAAAGGCUCCCUUUAGGAAAAGACAGUUGAAAAUCUUAAGUAAAUUGUCAAAGAUGGGAACUUGCCAUUGCUUCUGAGUCAGAUGAAGGAAGUAGGGAAAGUGUUUCUUGUCACUGACAGUGACUAUAAAUAUACAGAUAAAAUCAUGACUUACCUGUUUGAGUUCCCACAUGGCCCCAAGCCUGGGAGCUCCAAUCAACCACAGCAGUCUUACUUUGGUCUGAUUUUGGAUGCACAGAAACCUUUUCUUUUUGGAGAAGGCACAGUACUAUAUCAGAUGGAAAACUGGGAAACUGAAAAUUGGUACCUACACAGGCCCUCUACUGCCUGGCAUCACCACUCAGGAGAUUUAUCCGAUAUAGUCUGUGACCUGUUGGGUUUUAUAUAUUGAAGAUCACAUGUUUUGGAGACAUUUUUAAGUCAAAGAAGCAACAAGGGUAGAGAGUUUUCCUGGCAGUUCCUUAGCUUGCACAAGAGCUCCAUGUCUGGCCUGACAAGAGUUCACUUUCUGAAGACUUCAGAGCUUGGAUAUUUUCUUGGCUGAAAUCUACAAGCACCUUGACAGCAGUAACAUUGAGUACCGGGACAUUAGUUCCAGCCAGAGACAGGUUAAGAAAGUAACUCAUAACAUGGGUGUGUGCAGUGGGAUGAUGGGAAGCCUGUUUCAAAACGGCUCCCAGAAGGCACUUUGUGCCAGUCGAGUGAUGUGUGACAUUGAUCUCCAGACAGCAUCGUUCAUCAACCCGCUGUACAUUCAGCUCACUGGUCAGAGCUGCCCACGCCUUGAGGCUGCAGAAAUCAACAGUGGAGCACACACAUCAGUAGAUUUCAAAGACACCGACCAUCUGUGACACCAGUUCACAAGGUCCAUUAGUGAGAUCAAGAUCCCUGACCCCUUCCUACUAGCUCCAGAGAAGAUUAUACACCUCCAUCAUGAAGAUGAUGAUGAAGAGGAAGAAUAA
Arvicanthis niloticus (Nile rat) is the source of this 982-nucleotide non-coding RNA. Lineage: Eukaryota; Metazoa; Chordata; Mammalia; Rodentia; Muridae. The record is from RefSeq and is a predicted model, not a curated record.